GAGUCAUAUGCUUGUCUCAAAGAUUAAGCCAUGCAUGUCUAAGUAUAAGCACUUGUACUGUGAAACUGCGAAUGGCUCAUUAAAUCAGUUAUCGUUUAUUUGAUUGUACUUUACUACAUGGAUACCUGUGGUAAUUCUAGAGCUAAUACAUGCGAAAAAUCCCGACUUCUGGAAGGGAUGUAUUUAUUAGAUUAAAAACCAAUGCGAGUCCUCGUGGCUCGUUUUCUUGGUGAUUCAUGAUAACUUUUCGAAUCGUAUGGCCUAGCGCCGACGAUGUUUCAUUCAAAUUUCUGCCCUAUCAACUGUCGAUGGUAAGGUAGUGGCUUACCAUGGUUGUAACGGGUGACGGAGAAUUAGGGUUCGAUUCCGGAGAGGGAGCCUGAGAAACGGCUACCACAUCUAAGGAAGGCAGCAGGCACGAAAAUUACCCAAUCCCAACUCGGGGAGGUAGUGACAAGAAAUAACGAUACGGGGUCUUAAUAGGUCUCGCAAUUGGAAUGAGUACAAUUUAAAUCCUUUAACGAGGAUCAAUUGGAGGGCAAGUCUGGUGCCAGCAGCCGCGGUAAUUCCAGCUCCAAUAGCGUAUAUUAAAGUUGUUGCAGUUAAAAAGCUCGUAGUUGGAUUUCGGGAUGGGCCAGUUGGUCCGCCGCAAGGUGUGUUACUGACUGGUCUGUUCUUCUUCGCAAAGACUGCGUGUGCUCUUCGUUGAGUGUGCGUAGGAUUUACGACGUUUACUUUGAAAAAAUUAGAGUGUUCAAAGCAGGCUAUCGCUUGAAUACAUGAGCAUGGAAUAAUGGAAUAGGACUUUGGUCCUAUUUUGUUGGUUUCUAGGACCGAAGUAAUGAUUAAGAGGGACAAUUGGGGGCAUCCGUAUUUCGUUGUCAGAGGUGAAAUUCUUGGAUUUACGAAAGACGAACAACUGCGAAAGCAUUUGCCAAGAGUGUUUUCAUUAAUCAAGAACGAAAGUUAGAGGAUCGAAGACGAUCAGAUACCGUCCUAGUUC
RNAcentral lists this ribosomal RNA (1003 nucleotides) under uncultured eukaryote. RNAcentral's name for it is "SSU rRNA". It matches the Rfam family "Eukaryotic small subunit ribosomal RNA", at positions 21 to 1026 of the family's 1831-position model. The record is from RNAcentral.